GUAGCUACGUACGGUCGGGAUAAGCGCUGAAAGCAUCUAAGCGUGAAGCCCCCCUCAAGAUGAGAUUUCCCAAUUCGUAAGACCCCUGGUAGACGACCAGGUUGAUAGGUUCGGGGUGGAAGCGCCGUAAGGCGUGCAGCUGACGAAUACUAAUCGGUCGAGGGCUUAUCCUCA
Molecule: ribosomal RNA, 174 nt
Filed under: Paenibacillus flagellatus
Lineage: Bacteria; Bacillati; Bacillota; Bacilli; Caryophanales; Paenibacillaceae
Description: Paenibacillus sp. DXL2 partial 23S ribosomal RNA
Rfam family: Bacterial large subunit ribosomal RNA
Source: RNAcentral